AAGUAUAGAGGUCCCGCCUGCCCUGUGACUAUAUGUUUAACGGCCGCGGUAUUUUGACCGUGCGAAGGUAGCGCAAUCACUUGUCUCUUAAAUGGGGACCUGUAUGAAUGGCAUAACGAGGGCUUGACUGUCUCCUCUUUCAAGUCAAUGAAAUUGAUCUCCCCGUGCAGAAGCGGGGAUAUACACAUAAGACGAGAAGACCCUAUGGAGCUUUAGACACUAAAGCAGAUCAGCAUUAAUACCCCAAACACGGGGCACGAAUAAACUGAACCCUGCCCUAAUGUCUUAGGUUGGGGCGACCGCGGAGAAAUAAAAAACCCCCGCAAGGACCGAAUGUACUACAUUCACAACCAAGAGCGACAGCUCUAAUUAACAGAUACUUCUGACCAAUAAGAUCCGGCAACGCCGAUCAAUGGACCAAGUUACCCUAGGGAUAACAGCGCAAUCUCCUCUUAGAGCCCGUAUCAACGAGGAGGUUUACGACCUCGAUGUUGGAUCAGGACAUCCUAAUGGUGCAGCCGCUAUUAAGGGUUCGUUUGUUCAACGAUUAAAGUCCUACGUGAUCUGAGUUUCCAGACCGGA
This 582-nucleotide ribosomal RNA is filed under the name Epinephelus akaara (Hong Kong grouper). RNAcentral describes it as "partial 16S ribosomal RNA". It matches the Rfam family "Bacterial large subunit ribosomal RNA", at positions 1841 to 2620 of the family's 2925-position model. The record is from RNAcentral. Lineage: Eukaryota; Metazoa; Chordata; Actinopteri; Perciformes; Serranidae.